Molecule: unclassified non-coding RNA, 340 nt
Filed under: fungal sp.
Lineage: Eukaryota; Fungi
Description: partial internal transcribed spacer region
Rfam family: Eukaryotic small subunit ribosomal RNA (bases 1-46)
Source: RNAcentral
AAGUCGUAACAAGGUUUCCGUAGGUGAACCUGCGGAAGGAUCAUUAACACUUUGUUAUACCCAAUACCAACCAAAUGUGAACUGUAUCGUCCCUAUUCACGGUAAGAGGGGAGCUGGCUUCGGUCAAUUCUCUUCGAAUCGUGCGAUAGACAAUACCCUCCUAGUAGUCAUCAAGACGGCUAACACUUCGGUGUUGGUCGCCGUGGUGAUGAACGUACUCACCAAUUUUAACCCUAUAACUUUACACUUGACUAAUCUUCAUGAACUUAUCGACUGCCUCGGCGGUUAGUAAGCUUUACGAAAUAUUGAACAACUCUUAGCAAUGGAUAUCUUGGGUCAU